UACAUGCACAAAAUCCCUUUUGGGAUGUAUUUAUUACUCUAAAACCAAUGCUCUCUUUUGAAAGCUAUCUGGUGAAUCAUAAUAACUGUCGAAUCGCAUGGAUUUAUUCCGGCGAUAGAUCAUUCAAGUUUCUGACCUAUCAGCUCUCAAUCGUAGUGUAUUGGACUACGAUGGCAUUGACGGGUAACGGAGAAUUAGGGUUCGAUUCCGGAGAAGGAGCCUGAGAAACGGCUACUACAUCUAAGGAAGGCAGCAGGCGCGCAAAUUACCCAAUUGGAAUUUCCAGAGGUAGUGAAGAUAAAUAACAAUGCCGAAGCUUUCAGCUCUCGGUAAUUGGAAUGAGAACAAUUUAAAUCCCUUAUCGAGUAUCCAUUGGAGGGCAAGUCUGGUGCCAGCAGCCGCGGUAACACCAGCUCCAAUAGCGUAUAUUAAAGUUGCUGCAGUUAAAAAGCUCGUAGUUGGAUAUCUGAUUGGUUAAAAGAGAUCUGCUUUCGAGUGUGUGUCUCUUUUUCCAAUCAUCUUUCCAGUUGUAUUUUUCAUUUCUUCAGCAAUGGAGAUUUGAUUAAUUAAACUGGAUCUUUUACUUUGAAAAAUAAGAGUGUUCAAAGCAAGCUUUUGCUGUGAAUUCAUUAGCAUGGAAUAAUAAAAUAGGACUUUGGUCUAUUUUAUUGGUUUCUAGUCCAAAGUAAUGAUUGAUAGGGACAGUUGGGGGUGCUUGUAUUGAACGGCCAGAGGUGAAAUUCUUGGAUUCGUUCAAGACAAACUACUGCGAAAGCAUUCACCAAGGAUGUCUUCUUUAAUCAAGAACGAAAGUUGGGGGAUCGAAGACGAUCAGAUACCGUCGUAGUCUCAACCAUAAACUAUGCCAACUAAGGCUCAGCAAAUGUUUUCAAUAGACUUUGCUGGGACUUUAGAGAAAUUAAAGUUUUCGGGUUCUGGGGGGAGUCUGGUCGCAAGGCUGAAACUUAAAGGAAUUGACGGAAGGGCACACAAGGAGUGGAGCCUGCGGCUUAAUUCGACCCAACACGGGAAAACUUACCAGGUCCAGAGACGCGAAGGAUUGACAGAUUGCAGAUCUUUCUUGAUUGCGUCGUUGGUGGUGCAUGGCCGUUCUUAGUUGGUGGAGUGAUCUGUCUGGUUAAUUCCGUAAACGAACGAGACCAAGCCCUGCUAACUAGUUUUUCAUAGUUCUCUAUGAGGAAACUUCUUAGAGGGACUGUCGGCUUCCAGCCGAAGGAAGCGCU
Molecule: ribosomal RNA, 1244 nt
Filed under: metagenome
Description: SSU rRNA
Rfam family: Eukaryotic small subunit ribosomal RNA
Source: RNAcentral